This is a long non-coding RNA of Quercus lobata, 473 nucleotides long. RefSeq lists it as uncharacterized. Lineage: Eukaryota; Viridiplantae; Streptophyta; Magnoliopsida; Fagales; Fagaceae. The record is from RefSeq and is a predicted model, not a curated record. The transcript has 2 exons.
UUGUAUUUAAUGCGGCAGUUGUGGUCUCUCCCUGGACAUCCUAUACUUUUGUUCUUCUCCCUGCUUUGUGAGGCUUAUCCUUAUAGAGAAUAAGUUUGGUUCGGAGCUGGCGUAAAAGGUGUCUUUUACGCCAGCCAAUUAGCCAAUCCUGAAGCGACACAUCAGCCAAAACAUUUAAACUCAAUACACCUUAUUACAUGCCAUUAUAACCCAAUUAAAACCCCAAAUGUUCCUCAAACACGUUCAAAGCUUCUUCUUCAAACGGCAAACCAAGGGCAGACUCUCCUCCUCCUCCCCACAACGGAUCACCAGAGUUAUUUUUAGAGCUUGAAAAAGAUGCCGAAUCCGCCGUUAGUCUAGUGUCACAAUCUCAAGUUGUGAUGCAGAAUUGCAGAUAGAUGGUUUUGAAUACUUAAAAGAAAACUUCCCUACUGGCUUGACUGAAUUCUUGGAGUAUAUGGCUAGAGUUGGUG